Molecule: long non-coding RNA, 589 nt
Organism: Clupea harengus (Atlantic herring)
Lineage: Eukaryota; Metazoa; Chordata; Actinopteri; Clupeiformes; Clupeidae
Exons: 2
Source: RefSeq, a predicted model, not a curated record
UCGGGCUUAUCUUGUGGGGAGAUCGUGACGUCACCUAUGGGCUUUUUCUCCGGACUGACAAGGAAACUGAAUUGAUGGAAAAGGGACAGCGGGGAAUCUGAUAUCAUCCAAGAAGACACAGAAAUGCCGCAGGGUAAACAACUUUCGGUGCUGUCUGAGCACGCACUACAUCAAGUGGAGGAAAUCGCGGUGAGAUGGUAUGAGGCUGCCUGAAGAGGAGCCCACAAAGCGCCUGGCUCACGCCAAAAGCGUGCGAGCAGUCUUCCAACCUCAGCCUUUCCUGGAGGCGGAUGCGUUGAAACAGGUCAUGAUCUUCUUGUAAAGCACCAGGCGUUAUGUACCACGAGGGAGACACUUCACUUGAACUCUCUGUCAAAACACUAAUAAACCCAUGUCAUAAACAUGUCGUGGCAGAUGCCAACCACCGUCAUAAGUUUCCAUGGUAGAUUACUUGUAAUUACAAAACAACAUUGUGUUAUCAUUAAUCAAACAUGUUAUGGCUUCCCCCUUUAUGCUUGCUGCUUUGUUAUGUAUUGUGUAUGUGUGAUGAUUCAUAACAUAUUACAUAAUUAAAAAUUAUUGCGUAUGG